This 379-nucleotide unclassified non-coding RNA is filed under the name uncultured bacterium. RNAcentral describes it as "contains 16S-23S intergenic spacer region". The record is from RNAcentral.
UCACUGCUUGCGCAGGCAGUCUUGUUAGAGUCCCCACCAUAAUGUGCUGGCAACUAACAAUAGGGGUUGCGCUCGUUGCGGGACUUAACCCAACACCUCACGGCACGAGCUGACGACAGCCGUGCAGCACCUGUGCAGGCUCCCUUGCGGGUCCCUUCCGUUUCCACACCGGUCACCAACAUGUCGAGCCCAGGUAAGGUUCUUCGCGUUGCGUCGAAUUAAACCACAUGCUCCGCUGCUUGUGCGGGUCCCCGUCAAUUCCUUUGAGUUUUAGCCUUGCGGCCGUACUCCCCAGGCGGGGCACUUAAUGCGUUAGCGUCGGCACGGGGGGAGUCGACACCCCCCACACCUAGUGCCCAUCGUUUACGGCGUGGACUAC